RNAcentral lists this ribosomal RNA (393 nucleotides) under uncultured bacterium. Its description in RNAcentral is "partial 16S ribosomal RNA". It matches the Rfam family "Bacterial small subunit ribosomal RNA", at positions 523 to 918 of the family's 1533-position model. The record is from RNAcentral.
AUACGGAGGAUGCGAGCGUUAUCCGGAUUUAUUGGGUUUAAAGGGAGCGUAGGUGGGAUAUUAAGUCAGCUGUGAAAGUUUGGGGCUCAACCUUAAAAUUGCAGUUGAUACUGGUUUCCUUGAGUACGGUACAGGUGGGCGGAAUUCGUGGUGUAGCGGUGAAAUGCUUAGAUAUCACGAAGAACUCCGAUCGCGAAGGCAGCUCACCGGGCCGGAACUGACGCUGAUGCUCGAAAGUGCGGGUAUCAAACAGGAUUAGAUACCCUGGUAGUCCGCACAGUAAACGAUGAAUACUCGCUGUUUGCGAUACACAGUAAGCGGCCAAGCGAAAGCGUUAAGUAUUCCACCUGGGGAGUACGCCGGCAACGGUGAAACUCAAAUGAAUUGACGGGG